AUCGAUGUCGACAGAGUUUGAUCCUGGCUCAAGAAUAAACGCUGNCGNCGUGCCUAACACAUGCAAGUCGAGCGAGAAAAGCCUUCGGNCUGAGUAAAGCGGCAGACGGGUGAGUAAUGCGUAGGAAUCUGCCCUUCAGUGAGGAAUACCCUCGAGAAAUCGAGGUUAAUACUGCAUACGUCCCUUCGGGGAGAAAGAUGGCCUCUUGCUGUCGCUGAAGGAUGAGCCUGCGUGCUAUCAGCUAGUUGGUAGGGUAAAAGCCUACCAAGGCUAUGACGGCUAGCCGGCCUGAGAGGGUGUACGGCCACACUGGAACUGAGACACGGUCCAGACUCCUACGGGAGGCAGCAGUGGGGAAUAUUGCACAAUGGGCGAAAGCCUGAUGCANCAACGCCGCGUGAGUGAUGAAGNCCUUCGGGUUGUAAAGCUCUGUCUUUGGGGACGAUAUUGACG
RNAcentral lists this ribosomal RNA (453 nucleotides) under uncultured eubacterium HRS-1. RNAcentral describes it as "bacterial SSU rRNA". It matches the Rfam family "Bacterial small subunit ribosomal RNA", at positions 1 to 456 of the family's 1533-position model. The record is from RNAcentral. Lineage: Bacteria; Pseudomonadati; Acidobacteriota.